Long non-coding RNA from Haliotis rubra (blacklip abalone), 277 nucleotides. RefSeq lists it as uncharacterized. The record is from RefSeq and is a predicted model, not a curated record. NCBI's taxonomy places the organism in Eukaryota, Metazoa, Mollusca, Gastropoda, Lepetellida, Haliotidae. The transcript has 2 exons.
AAACCAAACUCAGUGAUCAAUCAGUGCAUCUGUAGCAUGGUGACCCACUCACUGGGCUAUCCAAAUACACAUUUCGAACCUGCUCAGGUAACACGUCCAUUAUUUUCCCGUCUCAUCUGCCGGCUGAGCAGAUUAGGAAACUACAUUAUUGCCACAGCCGCAUGUGGUAUCUGGUCCGAUAUAUGUUCAUCGUUCUGUGUCGGAAUAUCUUAGCGGGAACCAUGAUCAUUUGGACACUGUGCGUCUACUUCAGAGAAGCGGUUUGGUCUCAGCCACA